Molecule: ribosomal RNA, 450 nt
Filed under: uncultured bacterium
Lineage: Bacteria
Description: bacterial SSU rRNA
Rfam family: Bacterial small subunit ribosomal RNA
Source: RNAcentral
GUGGGGAAUCUUGCGCAAUGCGCGAAAGCGUGACGCAGCAACGCCGCGUGGGGGAAGACGGCCUUCGGGUUGUAAACCCCUUUCAGGAGGGACGAAGGUUCACCGGUGAAUAGCCGUGUGGAUUGACGGUACCUCCAGAAGAAGCUCCGGCUAACUACGUGCCAGCAGCCGCGGUAAUACGUAGGGAGCAAGCGUUGUCCGGAAUCAUUGGGCGUAAAGCGCGCGUAGGCGGCCCUGUAAGUCCGUUGUGAAAGUCAAAGGCUCAACCUUUGAAAGCCGAUGGAUACUGCAGGGCUAGAGUACGGAAGAGGCGAGUGGAAUUCCUGGUGUAGCGGUGGAAUGCGCAGAUAUCAGGAGGAACACCAAUAGCGAAGGCAGCUCGCUGGGACGUUACUGACGCUAAGGCGCGAAAGCGUGGGGAGCGAACAGGAUUAGAAACCCUAGUAGUCC